GAUCUGUUGGUGAAUGGUUCACACCCACUCUUCUUCAAGCACUCCUGCGGCAGUAGAAAAUGGGAGGUCCCGGUUCGAUUCCGGGUCAGGUCA
Molecule: non-coding RNA, 93 nt
Organism: Mycena filopes
Lineage: Eukaryota; Fungi; Basidiomycota; Agaricomycetes; Agaricales; Mycenaceae
Source: the annotation of a GenBank genome assembly